RNAcentral lists this small nuclear RNA (325 nucleotides) under Jaculus jaculus (lesser Egyptian jerboa). Its description in RNAcentral is "7SK RNA (ENSJJAG00000006444.1)". It matches the Rfam family "7SK RNA". Rfam says of the family: 7SK was discovered as an abundant small nuclear RNA in the mid-70s but a possible function has only recently been suggested. Two independent studies have found that 7SK RNA binds the CDK9/cyclin T complex (known as elongation factor P-TEFb). P-TEFb activates transcription by phosphorylating the C-terminal domain of RNA polymerase II. The record is from RNAcentral. Lineage: Eukaryota; Metazoa; Chordata; Mammalia; Rodentia; Dipodidae.
GGAUGGGAGGGCAAUCUGGCUAGAUAUCUGUCACCCCACUGAUCACCAGAGUUGAUUUGGCUGAUCCGGCUGGCUAGGCAGGUGUCCUCUUCCUCCCUCACCGCUCUGUGUGCGUCCCUCCUGAAGCUGCACGCUCAGUCAAAAAGGAUGACCUUCCCCAAAUAGAGGAAGACCAGUCUUGGAUCCAGGGUAUACGAGUAGCUGCGCUCCCUUGCUAGAACCUCCAAACAAGCUCUCAAAGACUUAUCUGGUGGCACAGAAGAUGGGAGACCAUCAGGCCAACCAGAAGUGCUGCAGGUGAGAACUGGAAGGCCAGCCCUAAAGC